RNAcentral lists this long non-coding RNA (257 nucleotides) under Salvia miltiorrhiza (redroot sage). RNAcentral describes it as "long non-coding RNA (SMIL_LNC008971)". The record is from RNAcentral. Lineage: Eukaryota; Viridiplantae; Streptophyta; Magnoliopsida; Lamiales; Lamiaceae.
GUUGAAUGAAGUUGCUGAUUCAUCAUUGACACAUCAGCAUUUAGACUUGGUCAUAGUUUGUUAUUUUGUUAUUCCUAUUUCUUAGCAUUUCAAGUUAGUAGAGUAUCGUAUCUUGCUAGUGGCUAGGAUUUCUGAUUUUCUGUUGAAGAGUAUCUUUCCGUUGCUAUGUUUCUGUUAUUCAGAGGCCUAUAAAUACCUCUACAUAUCAGUCAAUAAAGUAUCCACCUUUGAGUCCAUCUUUAUCAUAUUGCUUUCUU